RNAcentral lists this long non-coding RNA (1100 nucleotides) under Lotus japonicus. RNAcentral describes it as "long non-coding RNA (LJAP_LNC001974)". Lineage: Eukaryota; Viridiplantae; Streptophyta; Magnoliopsida; Fabales; Fabaceae. The record is from RNAcentral.
UGGCAUAAAUAGUGACAACGAAGUCAAGAGAUGAAACAUAUAGGAAAAUUUUGAAGAGCUACAGCAUGAAGUACAAGUAAUCCGAUAAGAACACCCUUAUUCUCUUGUUGUUUUAGCAUUAAGCACCAAAAUUCAAGGGAAGAAAACAAGGAUAGCGACAACAGCGUGAAAGUCCUACCGCAGAGAAAUACUCAUUAAACAUAUCCACACUGGUUGCCACUGAAUUUCUAUCCAGUCAUGAGAUUUUGCCUCUCAAUGACAAAUAUAUCCCAAUAAUGUAUAUACCAGAAGUAUAAAAUUUGAAAGUCAAAUCAUUGAUGAAAAAAUGAUUAAGCAACUAAUUCAUAAGUUAAGAGGAAAAAUACUGCGCACAUAUAGGAUACCUUAUCCCAGAAAUGGACAAGAUCAGCAUCCCGUUGGUUGACUGCUUUUGAAGGUGUCCUCAAGGAGUUUUCGUCGACAAAAGUAAUAUUAUCAUUAGAAGGAUUUGUUCCCAAAUAUAGGAAGAGAUGAUUGCUGCUAAGACCUAUAUCACCAUACUGCAUCACGUGAGAGCCAUAGUAUUCACUUCCACUGAUAGUCCUGUCUUUAACCUAUAAGCACAGGAGUAAAGAAGGCAUCAAUCACAUAAUUCUUACCACAUUUUCUACCCGUGGUGUUAGACCAAGAAUUCAACAAAAGCAGACUAAAAAAUCUCAGUGGAUUUAGAGAAAAUCAAGUUAGCAACAAGUUAUUACCAAUUUAUAUUGUUGGUGCAAGGAUUCUGUUCGCAGGUUGUGUAUAUCACUGCUCACAAGUAAAGAAAGAUUUAAAUUAGUACAAACAAAUCUUACAAAACUAAUUAUUCAAAAAACCUUCAGGUCUAAUUAAGAAAAGCUGCAAGUGGAAAUUAAAAUAAUUGAGAAUAAUUUAUUAUAAGAAAUUGUUUCAGAGUACAAAGACAGGCAUAUAAAACUCUCAUGAAGAUACACACAAGACGCAGUAGAAACAGGCAUUGAACUAACUACUUCAUGGUAAUUGCAUGGGUAUAAGAAGUAUUUCAUCACGUUAAAUAAACUCAUUUAUGAUAUAAUUAUGUUCCUUUAUUAUGCACAUACCUA